This 27-nucleotide non-coding RNA is filed under the name Bombyx mori (domestic silkworm). Lineage: Eukaryota; Metazoa; Arthropoda; Insecta; Lepidoptera; Bombycidae. The record is from RNAcentral.
UGGCUUGGAUGGAAUGGUCGACCUUAU